GACGAACGCUGGCGGCGUGCUUAACACAUGCAAGUCGAACGGAAAGGCCCUGCUUUUGUGGGGUGCUCGAGUGGCGAACGGGUGAGUAACACGUGAGUAACCUGCCCUUGACUUUGGGAUAACUUCAGGAAACUGGGGCUAAUACCGGAUAGGAGCUCCUGCUGCAUGGUGGGGGUUGGAAAGUUUCGGCGGUUGGGGAUGGACUCGCGGCUUAUCAGCUUGUUGGUGGGGUAGUGGCUUACCAAGGCUUUGACGGGUAGCCGGCCUGAGAGGGUGACCGGCCACAUUGGGACUGAGAUACGGCCCAGACUCCUACGGGAGGCAGCAGUGGGGAAUAUUGCACAAUGGGCGGAAGCCUGAUGCAGCAACGCCGCGUGCGGGAUGACGGCCUUCGGGUUGUAAACCGCUUUCGCCUGUGACGAAGCGUGAGUGACGGUAAUGGGUAAAGAAGCACCGGCUAACUACGUGCCAGCAGCCGCGGUGAUACGUAGGGUGCGAGCGUUGUCCGGAUUUAUUGGGCGUAAAGGGCUCGUAGGUGGUUGAUCGCGUCGGAAGUGUAAUCUUGGGGCUUAACCCUGAGCGUGCUUUCGAUACGGGUUGACUUGAGGAAGGUAGGGGAGAAUGGAAUUCCUGGUGGAGCGGUGGAAUGCGCAGAUAUCAGGAGGAACACCAGUGGCGAAGGCGGUUCUCUGGGCCUUUCCUGACGCUGAGGAGCGAAAGCGUGGGGAGCGAACAGGCUUAGAUACCCUGGUAGUCCACGCUGUAAACGGUGGGUACUAGGUGUGGGGUCCAUUCCACGGGUUCCGUGCCGUAGCUAACGCUUUAAGUACCCCGCCUGGGGAGUACGGCCGCAAGGCUAAAACUCAAAGGAAUUGACGGGGCCCCGCACAAGCGGCGGAGCAUGCGGAUUAAUUCGAUGCAACGCGUAGAACCUUACCUGGGUUUGACAUGGAUCGGGAGCGCUCAGAGAUGGGUGUGCCUCUUUUGGGGUCGGUUCACAGGUGGUGCAUGGCUGUCGUCAGCUCGUGUCGUGAGAUGUUGGGUUAAGUCCCGCAACGAGCGCAACCCUUGUUCACUGUUGCCAGCACGUUAUGGUGGGGACUCAGUGGAGACCGCCGGGGUCAACUCGGAGGAAGGUGGGGAUGACGUCAAGUCAUCAUGCCCCUUAUGUCCAGGGCUUCACGCAUGCUACAAUGGCUGGUACAGAGAGUGGCGAGCCUGUGAGGGUGAGCGAAUCUCGGAAAGCCGGUCUCAGUUCGGAUUGGGGCCUGCAACUCGACCUCAUGAAGUCGGAGUCGCUAGUAAUCGCAGAUCAGCAACGCUGCGGUGAAUACGUUCCCGGGGCU
Molecule: ribosomal RNA, 1346 nt
Filed under: uncultured bacterium
Lineage: Bacteria
Description: bacterial SSU rRNA
Rfam family: Bacterial small subunit ribosomal RNA
Source: RNAcentral